AACGAACGCUGGCGGUAUGCCUAACACAUGCCAGUCGAACGAGACCUUCGGGUCUAGUGGCGCACGGGUGCGUAACGCGUGGGAACCUGCCCUUAGGUUCGGAAUAACUCCCCGAAAGGGGUGCUAAUACCGGAUAAUGUCUUCGGACCAAAGAUUUAUCGCCUUUGGAUGGGCCCGCGUUGGAUUAGCUAGUUGGUAGGGUAAAAGCCUACCAAGGCGACGAUCCAUAGCUGGUCUGAGAGGAUGAUCAGCCACACUGGGACUGAGACACGGCCCAGACUCCUACGGGAGGCAGCAGUGGGGAAUAUUGGACAAUGGGCGAAAGCCUGAUCCAGCAAUGCCGCGUGAGUGAUGAAGGCCUUAGGGUUGUAAAGCUCUUUUACCCGGGAUGAUAAUGACAGUACCGGGAGAAUAAGCUCCGGCUAACUCCGUG
Molecule: ribosomal RNA, 433 nt
Filed under: uncultured bacterium
Lineage: Bacteria
Description: partial 16S ribosomal RNA
Rfam family: Bacterial small subunit ribosomal RNA
Source: RNAcentral